RNAcentral lists this ribosomal RNA (119 nucleotides) under Pteropus alecto (black flying fox). Lineage: Eukaryota; Metazoa; Chordata; Mammalia; Chiroptera; Pteropodidae. The record is from RNAcentral.
GUCUACAGCCAUGCCACCCUGAACAAGCCCGAUCCCUUCUGAUCUCGGAAACUAAGCAGGGUCAGGCCUGGUUAGUACUUGGAUGGGAGACCACCUAGGAAGACCAAGUGCCAUAGGCA